CGGUCUGACCCUCAGGGUACAGUAUCUCACAAAUACAAUCUCAUGAGUGAGGAGCUCAGUUUUGUGUUGAUACUGCACUGAAAAAUAUUCCAAAGCAACAUUGCAGAAGGCGCAUGUGUUUUAAGGCAGACUUAGUGGCAGUAGCGACCUAUCUAACAGUCAAACCAAAAUCAAUGUCAGCAUUGCCUUAGAACCAGACAAGAGUGGAACAACUUUUUUUUUUUUUUUUUAAUUAAAUGAUUGACUUGUCCUUUUGAAGUUAUGGGAGAUAGCUAUUUUUGUAAAGAUUGUAUCAACAUUUGUGGCUAUAUUUGAGACAAGGAUCACUACUUGAAAAGAGAAUGGGAUCUGCAGGAAGAACAUUCCUAACAAGGUUUCCCAAUGCUGCAAGUAUCCCAUGACAAAGUGGAUCGGUAAAGACACUUACAGAUGUCCAAGACAUACUCACCUGCUGCCUUUGCUUCUUGAAUGAAAUCUUUACUCCUUUGUCACCAGCUAUUUCUGUGCUCUACAGGCUCCACUUUAAAGUACAGAAGGUUUUCCAAGAGGUGUUGUACCUUCACCAACGUCCAGCUCUCCAACUGAGACCGUCUGAAUGUGUGUUUUGGUUUUUUUUUUAACCAAAAUCUGAGUGUAGACUCACUAUUGCCUGCUUUGUAUUUUCAUCAGUUCUUGCACAUUUUUGAGCAGCUUUUCUGAAAGCUGCAUUUCUGAAUGCUUGCUUUGCUUGCUAUAUGAUAUGCUAGGCCUUGUGCUCAAGCUAGGCUAAGCUGAUUUUUUUCUUUGAUCAAGCACCUGAUAAUGUCCAGUCAGUGAAUGAGACAGCAGCUUUGCAGUGAGCAUGCCUUAGCCCUCAAACCAAGAGAAAGUGACAAUUUAAUUUCAUUUCUAAACACAGAACAAGGCAAAGUGACUUACACAGGAACUGAGAUGGUUUUGUGCUAAAUUUGAUGUUUCCAUUGGAAAAAUGAACAAGUAAGGCUUUGAACAAAGGCUAGACCGUUGUAUGAUAAUAUACCUAGAAAGUUUGUCAGGCAAUAGCUGCAUAAUGCUAUGCUUCAGAAAAUCAAUACCUAUACUUUAUACAGUUCUAGAAGUAUCCUCUUUACUUCUACAGUGAUAACAUAAUUUUGUCUGGAAAAUAAACCUGAUACCUAGCAUUAAACUUUAAUGGACAAGAAAAUCCAGAUUUUCCCCCCUGCUUUGUCCUUUGCUGUUUUUCAAGUAGUUAAAAGGCAUCAUAGCUUAAAAAUCAUCCAUGUAUUUUUAUCUGACAGAGAAGGUAAAUUAUUUCAUCUGAGAGCUAAAUCUGAAAACUGAAAACUGUAGAGAGUUUAUUUAGGAUAGAACAAAACAGAAGGGGUACAGAUAAAACGGCUUGGGUGAAACCUUAGUCCCAACGAAUCCUGUGGCACAAUCCCCAUUGAUUUCAUAGAGCCAAGACCUUACCCAGCAGUCACAUAACAAAGCCAGCUGACACCGCACAACUUUUAGAGGAGAACAAAAGAUUAAAAACUCAAUAUUCAGGAUACAGUCAAGUUUACAUAGAAAGGAUUCACCUGAACUCUGAGCUGACAUCCAACACCUGGUUUAUUCAGCAGAGGAAAAUGAUAGAUGUAACAGAAUUUGAGAGUGGUGUGAAGAAUAGUCAAAAUGUAGCCUCCUUUUAAAUCAAAAUGCCAGUCUUUCUCUUUAAUUUGAUGCAUUAAAAACCCCUCUAUAAUCUUCAUGGCUAUAAGAGUUCAAGAAUGACCUUCUAGUCUAGUCAGUUGUAAAGUAAUCUUCUAAAAUACUUACCAUGCCAUAAGGGUUGCAACAGUGGGAAUGAGAGGGAACCGAGGGGAAAGAAUAGGG
Molecule: long non-coding RNA, 1854 nt
Organism: Aquila chrysaetos chrysaetos
Lineage: Eukaryota; Metazoa; Chordata; Aves; Accipitriformes; Accipitridae
Exons: 4
Source: RefSeq, a predicted model, not a curated record